RNAcentral lists this long non-coding RNA (1254 nucleotides) under Anas platyrhynchos platyrhynchos (common mallard). RNAcentral describes it as "lncRNA (ENSAPLG00000021544.1)". The record is from RNAcentral. Lineage: Eukaryota; Metazoa; Chordata; Aves; Anseriformes; Anatidae.
AUGCCCCGGUCUCGCCCUUUCCGAGCCUUUUUCCCACCUGCUUUUAUCCCUGCCUCCCCGCGCCCACGGUGCGAGGUGCCGCCGCUCCCCCCGAGCCCCCCCCGAGCCCCCAGCGGACCCCUACCGGGCUCCUACCGGGCUCGCAGCCGCCCGUUCCGCGCCGAGGAACCGCCGGUGCCCGCCAGCCCCGUGCCGCACCGUGCCCGGCGGAGGGGAGCGCGGUGCCGGUCAGCCCCGAGCCGCUCCGAGCCGUGCCGGGCCGAGGGGUGCCGGGUGCCCGGUGCCCUCCCCUCCCAGCCCAGCCCCGGGCCGGGCCCCGCCGCUGCCCCGGUUCCCGCCGCCCGCCCCCGCCCGGUGCCCAGCGCUGCCGGCCGCGCGGCGGCGCGCGCCUGUGACGUCACGCGGCGGGCAGGUGGCGCGCCCCCUGGUGGCGGGAAAACCGGGAGGAGGGGCGCGGGGCUGCUCCCGCUGCCGGUCCCGGUCCCAAGCCCGGUCCCCGUCCCUUGUAGGGGGGGGGGGGGGGGGCCCCCGCGCCCCCCCGCCCCCCCCCCCCCCUGGGCCCCCCCCCGCGCCCCCCCCCCCCUGCACCCCGCUCCCCCGGGAUUCCCGGCGUCCCCGCUUCCUCCGCGCAUUCCCCCACUGCCUCCCCCCCAUCUCCAUCGUCUCCUCCUCCUCCUCCUCCUCCUGCCGGCUUUGCCCCCCCCCUGCCCCCCCCCCGCAGACCCUCUCCCCUCCCCUCCCGCUGCACGCACAGCCCCUGCCGGCCCUGCCCUGCCUGCCGGGCUCGGCGCACGCCAGGAGCUGCGGACAGGUAGGCAGCGGGCUGCAUGCUCCAUGCUCCCCCGAGCUUUUUCUUUUCUUUUUUUUUUUUUCCCCGUUGCUUUCUCAGGGAUGGGGAGCAAGGGGAGGGCGGCACAUCCCCACUUUCCGUGCGCCCCGGAGGAGACAAAGGCCGGGGGGUCGGGGAUCCGCAUCCCCACCGCCGGGAUGCUCGCGGUGCCUCGGGUGGCGGCGGCAUCGCGCGGGGCUGGGAGCCGGGGGGUUGGGGGACAACCGGGCACCCUCCCGAGGUGCGAGGUCCCUUCGGAUGUGCCUAUUGUCGCCGUGCCGGGCAGCAGCCUCCCGGUGCUCGCUGUCCCGCUGCUUCGCUCGCCCUCGGGGCGCAGGAUGCGCAGCGCCGUGCGCCUCCCUCCCGGCACGGCUGGGACACGGCGGGUCCCUGCCCUGGCACCAGAGGCACCGCCGUUUGCCUAG